UACAUAGGGGGCAAGCGUUAUCCGGAAUUAUUGGGCGUAAAGAGUGCGUAGGCGGAUGAUUAAGUCUGGUGUAAAAUUUCACAGCUUAACUGUGGAGGGUCAUUGGAAACUGGUCAACUAGAGUACGGUAGAGGUAAGCGGAAUUCCAAGUGGAGCGGUAAAAUGCGUAGAUAUUUGGAGGAACACCAGUGGCGAAGGCGACUUACUGGGCCGGGACUGACGCUGAUGCACGAAAGCGUGGGGAGCAAACAGGAUUAGAUACC
This 263-nucleotide ribosomal RNA is filed under the name uncultured bacterium. RNAcentral describes it as "partial 16S ribosomal RNA". It matches the Rfam family "Bacterial small subunit ribosomal RNA", at positions 524 to 786 of the family's 1533-position model. The record is from RNAcentral.